CAGCCCAAGACCAUCCUCCUUGCACCUUUGUGCCAAGAAAGGCCUAUGAAAAAGUGGAUACUGGUUAAAAUUACCCCAGGAAGAUUCGGCUGGGUUCCAGACACAUGGAAAACAGACUUCCUGUGCCAGCGCAUGCUGAUCCCUUCAGCAGCCGCUUCUCCACCCUUGGGGCUGCUCUCCAGCACCUGGCAGUGUCCAGAGCGGAUAGGGGCGCCGUGUUUGGUGAAUGAGUGCACAGAUGCCUCUAGGGGGAGCCCAAGAUCUGCCUCCUGCCUCCCUCUAUUAUGCCUUCAUAGGUGGGUCAGAACAAAGAAUUCCUUAUCAACCUCCCAGGUCCCCCACUGCCAAUCACCCACCCCCAUUCUACCCUCUACAGCUGCCCCUUAUCCCCCAAAGUCCUGAAAUUUUGCUUGGGUCACCUGCUCCAGGAGGCAGAGUUCCCAUGAAGGGUAUUAAACGUCUACUACACUGC
This 472-nucleotide small RNA is filed under the name Pan troglodytes (chimpanzee). RNAcentral's name for it is "processed transcript". Lineage: Eukaryota; Metazoa; Chordata; Mammalia; Primates; Hominidae. The record is from RNAcentral.